This is a non-coding RNA of Pelobates cultripes (western spadefoot toad), 1019 nucleotides long. The record is from the annotation of a GenBank genome assembly. Lineage: Eukaryota; Metazoa; Chordata; Amphibia; Anura; Pelobatidae.
ACCUGUUCUAAAGAAGGAUAUUAUGGCACUAGAAAGAGUGCAGAGGAGGGGUACAAAAUUAAUAAAAGGAAUAGAACAUUUUAGCAAUGAAGAAAAAAUAAAUUUAAACCUCUUUAGUUUAGAAAAAUGUUGCCUCAGAGGGGAUAUGAUAACAUAUAACAGGACUUUACAUAGAACACAAGGUCAUGUGUUUAGACUGGAAGAAAGAAAAUUUAGUCUAAGGCAAAGGAAAGGGUUUUUUUUUACCAUAAGAACAACAAGGAUAUAGAAUUCUCUGCCUGAAGAAGUGGUUUUAUCAGAGUCCGUACAGAUGUUAAAAACAAGAUGCAUACUUGCAAAAACAGAAUAUUCAAGGAUAUCAUUUUUCAAUGUAGGGUAAAUGCUUCUUGAUCCAAACUAACUGCCAUUCUGGGGUCAAGAGAGAUUUUUUUUCCCCUCAUUUGUGCAAAAUUGGAAGUGCUUCAAACUGGGUUUUUUUGCAUUCUUUUGGAGCAACAGCAAAAAAACAAAUAUGAAGAAGUUGAUGGACACAUGUCUCUCCUCAGCCUAUUUAACAAUGAAUGUGGUCAGCAAAAUUAAUGCAAGUAGUGAGGGUUAAUCACCCAAACUAGCACACCAGAAUGGACAGAAGGGAGCUCACCAGGGCCAAGACCAGCAGCUAGAGACACGAGGCAGGAAGAGGCAGUUGUAGACAGAAACCGAAGGGAAGCGCCAUUAAAAUCGCAAGAUCGUAGGGGAAAAACGCGUAUUCGUAUGAAAACUAUCGAAUGGGUGAAUUAGUUUCGCGAACAAGGUGUGUUCGCAUACCAAAAGCAUCUAGAAAAAAAAAUAAAAAAAAUCAGUGGAGGAGAAACCUCAAGUAUGGGAAAAUGGAAAAAAAAAACCCUAGCUGGUCUGGGACCCAGAGCACAGAACAAACAAAUAUACAAUAAAUAGGUACAAAAACCCAGCAACAACAGUACAAGCUUAACUAAAGUCACAAGAGACAUAAAAUAAAAGUCUAACAUAAUCAGUACAAC